This 516-nucleotide ribosomal RNA is filed under the name Triticum aestivum (bread wheat). RNAcentral describes it as "partial small subunit ribosomal RNA". The record is from RNAcentral. Lineage: Eukaryota; Viridiplantae; Streptophyta; Magnoliopsida; Poales; Poaceae.
AUGUGGGUUCAUUGGCACAAGAAGUGGAUGAAGUUCACUCACGAAGGGCGCCACAUCUCCUUGCGAGGCAUUCAAGACAGAAAUCAGCCUCUUAAACCCGUCUCGGUAAGGAAAUUGAAAGGACUGCUGCGCCGAGGGGCAAUCCAGCAUGCAGUUCAGAUCAAGCGUGUGCACCAAGAGAAGGAAUUAUGCUCUGUGGCUGAUACUGUGCCAACUCCUAACCAACUUCCUCCAGAGGUGGUCACGGUUCUGCACGAAUAUAAGGAUGUGUUCGCGGAGCCAUCCACCCUGCCACCCCGCCGUCUGGCUGAUCAUAAAAUCCCCCUUAUCCCGGGUGCUCAACCAGUCAGUGUACGCCCUUAUCGCUACACCCCGCAACAAAAUGAUGAAAUAGAGAGACAGGUCAAGGAGAUGUUGCGCAAAGGCAUAAUCCGUCCAAGCUCCAGUCCCUUUGCAUCACCCGUUCUGCUUGUUCGCAAGAAGGAUGGAUCGUGGCGGUUUUGUGUGGACUACUAG